This 450-nucleotide ribosomal RNA is filed under the name Paenibacillus sp. BSF2(2). Its description in RNAcentral is "bacterial SSU rRNA". It matches the Rfam family "Bacterial small subunit ribosomal RNA", at positions 53 to 483 of the family's 1533-position model. Lineage: Bacteria; Bacillati; Bacillota; Bacilli; Caryophanales; Paenibacillaceae. The record is from RNAcentral.
ACAUGCAGUCGAGCGGACUUGAAGAGAAGCUUGCUUCUCGGAUGGUUAGCGGCGGACGGGUGAGUAACACGUAGGCAACCUGCCCUCAAGUUUGGGACAACUACCGGAAACGGUAGCUAAUACCGAAUAGUUGUUUUCUUCUCCUGAAGAGAACUGGAAAGACGGAGCAAUCUGUCACUUGGGGAUGGGCCUGCGGCGCAUUAGCUAGUUGGUGGGGUAACGGCUCACCAAGGCGACGAUGCGUAGCCGACCUGAGAGGGUGAUCGGCCACACUGGGACUGAGACACGGCCCAGACUCCUACGGGAGGCAGCAGUAGGGAAUCUUCCGCAAUGGGCGAAAGCCUGACGGAGCAAUGCCGCGUGAGUGAUGAAGGUUUUCGGAUCGUAAAGCUCUGUUGCCAGGGAAGAACGCUUGGGAGAGUAACUGCUCUCAAGGUGACGGUACCUGAG